RNAcentral lists this ribosomal RNA (468 nucleotides) under uncultured bacterium. Its description in RNAcentral is "partial 16S ribosomal RNA". It matches the Rfam family "Bacterial small subunit ribosomal RNA", at positions 28 to 507 of the family's 1533-position model. The record is from RNAcentral.
GACGAACGCUGGCGGCGUGCCUAACACAUGCAAGUCGAACGGAAAAGCCCUGCUUUCGUGGGGUGCUCGCGUGGCGAACGGGUGAGUAACACGUGAGUAACCCGCCCUUUGCUUUGGGAUAACUUCAGGAAACUGGGGCUAAUACCGAAUAGCAGCUCCUGCUGCAUGGUGGGGGUCGGAAAGUUGCGGCGGUUGGGGAUGGACUCGCGGCUUAUGAGCUUGUUGGGGGGGUAGUGGCUUACCCCGGCAUUGACGGGUAGCCGGCAUGAGAGGGUGACCGGGUACAUGGGGACUGAGAUAGGGCCCAGAGGGAAACGGGAGGCAGCAGUGGAGAAUAUGGCCCAAUGGGCCGAAGGCGGAUGAAACAACGCCGGGUGCGGGAGGACGGUCGAGUGGGGGGAAACCGCUUUGAGCUGAGACGUAGCGGGAGUGACGGUACUAGGAGAAGAAGCACCGGCUAACUACGUG